Molecule: ribosomal RNA, 528 nt
Filed under: Candidatus Yanofskybacteria bacterium RIFCSPHIGHO2_01_FULL_44_24
Lineage: Bacteria; Candidatus Yanofskyibacteriota
Description: bacterial SSU rRNA
Rfam family: Bacterial small subunit ribosomal RNA
Source: RNAcentral
CCCUUCCAGUGGCAAAGCUAACGCGUUAAGUCUGCCGCCUGGGAAGUACGAGCGCAAGCUUAAAACUCAAAGGAAUAGGCGGGAAUUUGCACAAGCAGUGGAUCAUGUGGUUCAAUUCGACACUGAGCGAGGAACCUCACCAGGGCUUGAAAUUCUAGUGUAAGCCUUAGGAAACUAAGGCCCCCGCAAGGCACUAGGACAGGUGCUGCACGGCUGUCGUCAGCUCGUCAUGUGAAUGGUUUCCUUAAGUGGAUUAACGAGCGCAACCCCUAUUGUCUGUUAUACGUGUCAGACGAGACUGCUCCGGUAACGGAGAGGAAGGUGGGGAUGACGUCAAGUCAGCGUGGCCCUUUGAUGCCCUGGGCUACACACAUGAUACAAUGGGUGUUACAAUGGGUCGCUAAGCCGCGAGGCGGAGCUAAUCCCAUCAAAGGCACCCUCAGUUCGGAUAGGAGGCUGAAACUUGCCUCCUUGAAGCUGGAAUUGCUAGUAAUCGCUGAUCAGAACGCAGCGGUGAAUACGUUCUCA